CACGUAGGCACCAAGCGUUGUCCGGAUUUAUUGGGCGUAAAGAGCUCGUAGGCGGUUCAGUAAGUCGGGUGUGAAAACUCUGGGCUUAACCCAGAGCCGCCACUCGAUACUGCUGUGACUUGAGUUCGGUAGGGGAGCAGGGAAUUCCUAGUGUAGCGGUGAAAUGCGCAGAUAUUAGGAGGAACACCGGUGGCGAAGGCGCUGCUCUGGGCCGAUACUGACGCUGAGGAGCGAAAGCGUGGGUAGCAAACAGG
RNAcentral lists this ribosomal RNA (254 nucleotides) under uncultured bacterium. RNAcentral's name for it is "partial 16S ribosomal RNA". It matches the Rfam family "Bacterial small subunit ribosomal RNA", at positions 524 to 776 of the family's 1533-position model. The record is from RNAcentral.